Chroicocephalus ridibundus (black-headed gull) is the source of this 997-nucleotide long non-coding RNA. RefSeq lists it as uncharacterized. The transcript has 5 exons. Lineage: Eukaryota; Metazoa; Chordata; Aves; Charadriiformes; Laridae. The record is from RefSeq and is a predicted model, not a curated record.
UAUUCAGCGCGUCCGUCUGCGGACGCGUGGGGUUUCUGUGAGGAAAACCCCCAGCCGGCGCGGCCGCGGAGCCUGGCGGUAGAAGCGGCCGUCCGUGGCAGUGUCAGAGAGGCCACGCGGGCCGUCUGCGGGCAGGAGCGACGGCUGGAAGGGCCCUUCCAUUGCCCAGGCGCAAAACCAGCUCCUGCCCCGAGAGAUUAGGGCUGCCCUGAGGUGUGUUAUCCGUGGGUGAUGGGGUCCGGGCUGUGAUUCCAGCCCUGGGCACGAAGGUGGUCGGGAAAGUGAACGGUUCAGCGCUCCCCGUGAGGGGGAGAAGAAACAGCCAUCAUUCUUCAUGGUUCUUCAUUGCAGGAAUUGCAUGUGUGAAAGCAGGUGACAAUGACAGUGAUGCCAAAAUCACCAUCUGCCACCUGGCAUCAAGGGCUACUGGGAGCUUUUGCUGUUCAUAGAGUCCCAGAGAGCUGGUGCCAUGCAGAGAGAGCACACUGAAGGGUCAAGAGGGUGUCAGGGUCACCUGGAAUGAUCUCAGCAUUUCCAUACAAGCAGUAAAGGGCUGCUCUUCCCGGUGUCAUACUUGCUUUCUGGCCCAACAGAUUACCAUGAAACUGAGAGAACACGGACCUGCAUUUUGCAACAGACCCCUUGGUACAGCAGUGCUGAAUGUUGACUGAUACUUUGGACAAGUGCCUGCCUGAAAAACACAAGCUCCUGCAGUAGGUGAUGGCUGAACUGAUCAGGAAGGAAUAGUGCAGAAGAACUGCUGAGUGGGAGAGGCACUGGAUGCGUCCGCUGGCACAAUGGCAGGCAACAUGGUCCACCCCCUCCGCAGUGACGCUGCUUGCAGACUCCCUUUACCCAAAUCUGUAAGCACCACCUUCUGAAUGCCUUCAGCUUCUUUUUGGGCUCAAGCUCUAACAGCAGCACCAAACCUCACCCUUGCUGACUGUGGACCUUGAAAAAGAAAAAAAAAAAAAAAAAAAGGACAAUGUCUGAUGUU